AGUUUGAUCCUGGCUCAGGAUGAACGCUGGCGGCGUGCUUAACACAUGCAAGUCGAACGAUGAUCUCCAGCUUGCUGGGGGGAUUAGUGGCGAACGGGUGAGUAACACGUGAGUAACCUGCCCUUGACUCUGGGAUAAGCCUGGGAAACUGGGUCUAAUACCGGAUACGACCGUCUGGCGCAUGCCAUGGUGGUGGAAAGCUUUUGCGGUUUUGGAUGGACUCGCGGCCUAUCAGCUUGUUGGUGGGGUAAUGGCCUACCAAGGCGACGACGGGUAGCCGGCCUGAGAGGGUGACCGGCCACACUGGGACUGAGACACGGCCCAGACUCCUACGGGAGGCAGCAGUGGGGAAUAUUGCACAAUGGGCGCAAGCCUGAUGCAGCGACGCCGCGUGAGGGAUGACGGCCUUCGGGUUGUAAACCUCUUUCAGUAGGGAAGAAGCCGCAAGGUGACGGUACCUGCAGAAGAAGCGCCGGCUAACUACGUGCCAGCAGCCGCGGUAAUACGUAGGGCGCAAGCGUUAUCCGGAAUUAUUGGGCGUAAAGAGCUCGUAGGCGGUUUGUCGCGUCUGCUGUGAAAGACCGGGGCUCAACUCCGGUUCUGCAGUGGGUACGGGCAGACUAGAGUGAUGUAGGGGAGACUGGAAUUCCUGGUGUAGCGGUGAAAUGCGCAGAUAUCAGGAGGAACACCGAUGGCGAAGGCAGGUCUCUGGGCAUUAACUGACGCUGAGGAGCGAAAGCAUGGGGAGCGAACAGGAUUAGAUACCCUGGUAGUCCAUGCCGUAAACGUUGGGCACUAGGUGUGGGGGACAUUCCACGUUUUCCGCGCCGUAGCUAACGCAUUAAGUGCCCCGCCUGGGGAGUACGGCCGCAAGGCUAAAACUCAAAGGAAUUGACGG
Molecule: ribosomal RNA, 898 nt
Filed under: uncultured bacterium
Lineage: Bacteria
Description: bacterial SSU rRNA
Rfam family: Bacterial small subunit ribosomal RNA
Source: RNAcentral